This is a non-coding RNA of Triticum urartu, 4766 nucleotides long. NCBI's taxonomy places the organism in Eukaryota, Viridiplantae, Streptophyta, Magnoliopsida, Poales, Poaceae. The record is from RefSeq and is a predicted model, not a curated record.
GAAAAAAGACCUACGAAAGAAGACCUACGAAAGAAAAAACAACGACAAAAAAUCAGGCGACUCGCACGCACGAGUGAGGCCUCCAGAUCCCUUCUCCACCGCCCGACGCCGCCAGCCCCGUCCUCCUCCCUGGCUCCCGGUGGCGCCCGCUCCCCAUCUCCUCCUGCGAUCCUGGCGUCGCCUCGCCCCACCUUCUCACUCACUCCCGGCGCCACCCCGCCCCACAUUCUCCCUCACCACUGGCGCCGCCCAACCCCAACCUUCCUGGAUCUUGGUGCUGCCCCGCCCCCACCUCCUUCCUCGCUCCCGACUGCCCAUGCCGCCUAUGCGCGCCCCUCCCUCAGCCCACCGGCGACCUCCCAUCCUCCACCGUCUACCCCACCGUCGGAUCUCCUCCUCCCCUCUCCUUCUCUCCCUCGCGGACGCGUCAAACGCACGAAAUUUCCCUCCUCGCGGCCGGAACCCUAGCUCGUGCCUGUGAGGACUGGGCUGGAGGUGCGGCACGGGAUUCGCACCGCAGGAUUCGCCAGCGAUGAGUCCAACAGGUCGUCGAAUCGGGGAACGGGAUGGCGCACCCUGCUGGAGCCGCCGGUCGGGACGAGCGCGGCGGCGACGAACGUUGGUGCGCCUCCGUUUCCUCGACCUCCAAGGACACGGGCACCAGAUUUGUUCUCGCCUGACCAGCCUCGGUAUCCAGCUCCCUACAGCCACCGCUGGCGUUGACUCCCAAGGAUUGACCCGCCUCUCGCCUUUCCUCUUUCGAUUCACCCCGUUGAUUUGUGUGUGAUCGAUUUGCAUUUUUUAUGAUUCCAAAUAGCAGGCGAGGAUGACGACGACACCAAAGAUGACGAGGCCCCGAGCUCGAGCACGACCACUACGACGCACUGCACAAAGGCCCCUGCUUCCUGCCUGCCCUUCCCUUUGCUUGGAAGAUAGCUCACUCCAGAUGUUCUUCCUGUCCUUCUCCUUGGUUGAUGAGCGCUGCACUCACUCAUGUAUGCAGGUUGAGUCCAAGCACAAUAGGCGAGAAGACGACGGUGACGCAGAGGAGGACGAGGACCCGCGCUCCAGCCCGACCACGACUAUGCACCGCACGGUCCCUGCUUCCUGGCUGUCACCAAUUGCCCCCUUCCCUUUACAGUAUUACUCUAUUUGUUUUCAUUGCUUUUCACCUAGUUUUGCACACUUUCUGGCCCUUCAUUUUUUUGUGUGCAGAUGUUCUGAUCGCCUCCAUACGGUUGUUUCCGUCCUCCUGCUCGUGCUGUCUCCAUCCUCCUGCUCAAGUCGUCGCCGUCGCCUCCCAUCCUUCAUGGUCUGCAUGUGUGCGCCCACUGUUGGAGGACGACGUUGAACAUGAAGCGGAGCCCAGCCGGAGCGGUCUGACGCGGUGGUCGUGGCCAAGGAGCGGUGGUCGAUGCCAUGGAGCAGGGGCGCUCGCUCGCCUGCACAUCGGCUGCGUUCUGAACUAAUGCUUUCUGCAACUGCAAUGUUCCCCUUCACAUUGUAUCUUGUGUAGGCAGAAGGAAUGCAGCUCAGUGACGGCGUCAGCUACAACUGGAUCGAUGGCCUAAAGGCUUUUACUAAGAAGAUGAAGAAUUUUCUAGAAUAGUGUCCAUCAACAAAGAGUCUUACUACUACCGGUUGGAGAGGCUCUAUCCUCAGUGCACCACCCUUUCUACACACAUCAUUCAUGGAUUGGCAGACUAAAGGUUCUAUUCAACAUCUUUGGUGGAUUGCAUAAAUGGGCUAGAGUAAAAAUAUACCAGAAUUGUUAUAUGUGCUUAGGGAAGUGGGAUUAGAUCAAGAUUUUUUUGACAAAAUGAGAAAUCAAUGGCUCAAGGAGAGUAAGCCCAAAGAGAUAAGUAUUGUUUUCCUUUAGUAGCUUGCUGCAUAAUUCAUUCAAACAUAUUUAGAGUGGAGCAGGAAUAUUCAAACAAGGAAAUGUACACAAUAUCUGUUAGUAUACAUGUGACACUUUCCUGUCUUUCGACUAAUGAUUGCCUCCUGCCAGGUAUCACUAAUAGCACAUUCAUCACAUCAUUUGUGUAGCUCAUUCUGGUGUAAGUCGGCCCAAUUUAGAAAAGAUUUUAAAGCAGAUUCAUACAGGUUAUAGAAGUCAGAGUCAAAUAGUAUAAUAAGUGAUUUGUUUGUGCAUAAUUUCUAAUUGAUCGUCUUCUAAGGAUAAAUGGAACUGCUACCUUUCCUCUCUCCAAUAAACUAUUAGACCCUGCUUGUAACUAUUUUUCAUCUUGGUGUGAUUUAUAAGGGAGGCCAUGCCAUUAGUUUUUUGUUAUUACAUGCUGUGAUGACCCCGAUUCAUUGAUGUAUAGUGUCGUAUGUGGUCAAUUACCUAAUAUGGUAGUAUCACUUCUCCUGGUUUGCCUUGGUCUGAAAUCUGACUUUGGACUGAUUGUAGUCAAUCUGAAUUAGUGAGGUUCUUUUUUCCAACUGUCCAUGUUCAGUUCUCUACAUUAUCAUGCAUUUCCUUUGGUUUAAAGAUGUCAUGAUGUUCACCAAGGCAGAGAAGAAAUGUUUUAAAGUUGUCCCUUCAAUUGAAACAAGUAUGACUUGGUCCUUAGUGCCUAUGCGGACAUGAAAACGGAAGGUCGAGAGGUUUAAAUAUGUCAUGAUGUUUACAAUUGCGGAUAUCCUGCUUCAGGGUAAAUGUACUGGUUGGUUGCUUCAAGACUUAAUAACAGACACUAUGACAAUGGCUCAAGAGAUAUCAGAUCUACCUUCUUGGUUGGGGCAUUAUGGGUGGCGCACGCCUCAGCCCCCUUGUUGGCCGUGGUGGAUGGACAUGAACACGAGGGGGGAUCAGGGCGGAGAGCAGGGUGGUUGGCGGGGGACUCAUCCUUGGCAGUUCAUGGGAAAGUACGGUGUGAAGCAGAGGGGGCGCCAUGGCGAAGUGUGAAAGGAGGAAAAUGGUUGCCGGAAAGCAGGUAGAUCUACACCUUGAGAGAUGGCAUUUUGCGGUACAUUGUUUAGGUAUUUGGAGUAUCUAUUAUGUUUCAGAAUUUCUUGAACUAUGGUAUCUCCAUAUCCAUCUAAUGAAUGCCCCCCCCCCCCGUAAUUUCAUUCAAGAUAUCUUAAGGAGAAAUUUGGUUUUUGGUGAACUAAAACAAUAUACCAAUAAAAAUUUAGCGCUUGGCUAUACAUAUGAAUGUUAACUUUGUUAAAAUAAUUCUCCCUUUAUAAGAGAAGAUUUCUUAGUUCAAAUAUAUUUUUUGAAAAAAUAUAGUAUUUUCCUGACAAACCUUUUGAUUCCUCAACAUCCAUAUCUCAGAAGGAUAAUAGUGGUGUGUUUAUGUUGCUUUGGGUCUCUUAUCACUCGGAUCAUUCAUCAGAAAAAUAUUUAAAAAAUAAUUCUAUUUUGACGUUUCCUUUGUGUUCAUUGUUCCAUCAUAGUAGUUUAGGUGCACAUGAAACCAGACCAUAUGUUUCAGUUUCACUCUUUGGACCAUGAUGGUGGUGUGCAAGGUGGGCUAGAUCGUAAUGCUAAAAGAAUCAAUGGAGGUUAUUGGAUAGCUUUUAGAUUCUCCAAAAAAUAAUCUAGCAGAUGGAUGAUCCUAUUAUCACGUAUGGUGGUGGUGUGCAAGGAAAUGGAGCAGCAUGAUGGUAGCUAAUGCUGUUAUUUUCACAUAGUGUAGUAUAUUGGGAGCCAAGGCCGAGUAGCAAGCCAUGUGUCACCGCAAGGACAGGAGAGAGAUUUAAUUAAUUGUAUUUGCAAGAUUUGGUCUUUCCUUCUUGUUUUCCUGGUCAUCUCACAGGUCAUUAGUGGUCACUUGGGAUGGGUGCGAUCUGUAGCAUUUGAUCCAGGGAACAAAUGGUUUUGUCCUGGUUUUGCUGAUAGGACAAUAAUGGAGGAAGAAGCCGAAGGUAGAAGACAAACAACAACCAUUCGAUGAAGAUCCAACGUUGCUCGAGCAGUGGCGUCAUAGUCGAAGGCGGGAAGAGGGUUGACAGGUGUGGGUGGGGGUGCGAUGGCUCGCUGAAAAAAUCUGGUUACUGGGUUGGUCCACAGGGAUAGUCGAGGGUGGCGACAGGGGAGGGCAGGGAAGCAACGCGGUCGGGGGUGGUGGCGAUGGGUCGAUCAGCCGGUUGUAGUUGGCGGUUCAGUAGGAGCAAGAGGUCAGGGGUAGAGGAUAAACAACAACCAUUCGACUAAAGACCCAACAACCCUCAUAAAUCAACUUUGCAUCAAAUUUUUAUAGUCUGACAUAUAACUGACACCCUUAAUACCGAGAUAUUUAGAAUAUUUUUGAUCAUAUUUAUAUGAAAAAAAUAUCAUCUUAUGCAAUACUAAAGUUAUACAUUAUAAAAAUUGAACUCGUGAUGUGCAUCUAAUGAUAUUGAUUCCGUAUUGUGAUUUUUUUGUAUUUUCUAUAAAGUUGGUAAACUUUACAAAGUUUGACUUUAGACAAAUCUUAUAUGCGAGUAAAAGGACCGGAGGGAGUACUAUGUUGCUUUCUACAUGUCUUCUUAUGGCUUUAUUAAAGAUCUUCAUUUUUAUGGGUUUAAACACAAGAUGUUAUUUUUGUAGCACAUUUCUGAUAAGUUUUUCUUCUAUAAAGCUAUAAUUUCAACCACAUUCUAAAAUAUAAAUGGGAUUUGGUGAUAAGUAAUCAUUGUGUUUGUUCAUAAUCUAUCAGACACGACAACGUUCAUGUCGAAUGUGUUCUAGAAAUGUUCUUUGAUAAAUAUGUUUUUAGCUAUUAAUAUUUUAGUAUGGUCUUAAAUUUAUCAAUUCACAUAUCACUUCGAUA